CUAAAGUUACUAAUGUCAAAGGUCGGGAAAUGUUUGCAUUUUUUUUUCCCUAGCCUAAAUUCCAAUAUUCUCGUAAAUACUUCUCGCUCUCAAAUCUCUCUCUUCGAGAGUUCUCUCUCAGAUCUAGCUCUUUCUCAGGCUCCCUCAAUUUGGAAUUGAAUCACAACGGGUCUCCCACCGCAAGCCAUAACUCUUUGGAUCCAACACUUUGAACUCGCAGUAUCAGAGAAGAAAUUCUGCGAACAAGUGCUGGGAGGCAUAAUGGAGGGCUUGGUGUCCAGAUCUUUAGUUCAGUGGAAAUGAAUUGAUUGUCAGGCGACUUUGGAAGGCCAACUUGAGGGUUGCUUAGGCGAUUUGGGUAUUCCGUGGAUAUCCAUAGAGUAGUACUGGGAGGCAUAAUGGACGGACUGGUGUGGCCAGAAUGCUUUGUAAAUCUCGCAGAUAAAAUCAUGGCGGUAUUCUUCAGAUUCGCCGAUACCCGGAGCAGCAAAGAGCCACAAAAACUUGAACAGACAGUCUGGGCUUCAAAUUGAAGGAAACUCAGAUGGCGGAGUGCCACCCCCACGAGAUGAAUUAAUGUAUGCUAGAAAAAAAGAAGAAGAGGACAGUCAAUUGAAGAACUAAAAUAUAAAUAUGUGAAAAUCUAAAUAAUUUAAUAAAAUUCAAUAAAAAAAUUUGUGCGGAGUUGUGAUUUAAGUGGGAACACCAAAUGCAUUAUGUUGGGUAAAAAUUGCACAAAGU
This is a long non-coding RNA of Rosa rugosa (rugosa rose), 741 nucleotides long. RefSeq lists it as uncharacterized. The record is from RefSeq and is a predicted model, not a curated record. The transcript is spliced from 4 exons. Lineage: Eukaryota; Viridiplantae; Streptophyta; Magnoliopsida; Rosales; Rosaceae.